Molecule: non-coding RNA, 89 nt
Filed under: uncultured Treponema sp.
Lineage: Bacteria; Pseudomonadati; Spirochaetota; Spirochaetia; Treponematales; Treponemataceae
Description: TPP riboswitch (THI element)
Rfam family: TPP riboswitch aptamer (THI element)
About the family: Vitamin B(1) in its active form thiamin pyrophosphate (TPP) is an essential coenzyme that is synthesised by coupling of pyrimidine and thiazole moieties in bacteria. The previously detected thiamin-regulatory element, thi box was extended, resulting in a new, highly conserved RNA secondary structure, the THI element, which is widely distributed in eubacteria and also occurs in some archaea.
Source: RNAcentral
CAAUAUGGGGAGCUGGAAUAAUCCGGCUGAGAGUAGGCUGUUUGCCUUGACCCAGAACCUGAUUUGGAUAAUGCCAACGUAGGGAAAUU